RNAcentral lists this ribosomal RNA (560 nucleotides) under bacterium PE03-7G5. Its description in RNAcentral is "bacterial SSU rRNA". It matches the Rfam family "Bacterial small subunit ribosomal RNA", at positions 327 to 880 of the family's 1533-position model. The record is from RNAcentral.
CGGCCCAGACUCCUACGGGAGGCAGCAGUGGGGAAUUUUGGACAAUGGGGGCAACCCUGAUCCAGCCAUGCCGCGUGCGGGAAGAAGGCCUUCGGGUUGUAAACCGCUUUUAGUCGGAAAGAAAAGGCACGCCCUAAUACGGCGUGUUCUUGACGGUACCGGCGGAAUAAGCACCGGCUAACUACGUGCCAGCAGCCGCGGUAAUACGUAGGGUGCGAGCGUUAAUCGGAAUUACUGGGCGUAAAGCGUGCGCAGGCGGUUCGUUGUGUCUGAUGUGAAAUCCCCGGGCUCAACCCGGGAACUGCAUUGGAAACUGGCGGACUUGAGUGUGGCAGAGGGGGGUGGAAUUCCGCGUGUAGCAGUGAAAUGCGUAGAUAUGCGGAGGAACACCGAUGGCGAAGGCAGCCCCCUGGGCCAACACUGACGCUCAGGCACGAAAGCGUGGGGAGCAAACAGGAUUAGAUACCCUGGUAGUCCACGCCCUAAACUAUGUCGACUGGGUGUCGGGAGAGAGAUCUCUUGGUACCGUAGCUAACGCGUGAAGUCGACCGCCUGGGGAG